This is a long non-coding RNA of Laticauda laticaudata (blue-ringed sea krait), 3361 nucleotides long. Lineage: Eukaryota; Metazoa; Chordata; Lepidosauria; Squamata; Elapidae. The record is from Ensembl.
CUCGAGGCUUCCCGUCGAUCCUCUGUGCGCGGGCGCUCCUUGGUGGCCCCGCCCACUUCCUCCCCCUAUAUAAGGCGAAGACCACGUGUGUUCGGCCAUUUGUUGCUGGCUUCGGGAGGAGCAGCAGGUGCGAUCCUUCGCUUUCCUUUUAACGUGCUUCGCCGUUCGGAGGCCGCUGCUGGGAUGGUGUAGGCAGGGUGUGGACUGCAACUACCAUCGUCCCCAGCCGGCCGGGGAAGAUGGGGCCCGCUACCUCCAGCCCCCCAAAAGGGAGCUAGAAAUGGUCUCCAUUGCCUUCGGAGUAAGGGAGUUAGAUGUAGAGGGGGCUUCAUUGUCACUUUAAAUGGGGGAGGUGGGGGAACGACUUCCGAAGCAGCCCCUUUGCUUCCUGCUCACCUCAUUUCCCUCCUGCUUCUGCUUGACUUUUGUCAGAAUUGGCGGCGACGUCUUCUAGAAUAACGGAGUUGGAAGGGACCUUGGAGGUCGUCUAGCCUAACCCCCCUGCUCAAGCAGGAGAGACCGACACCAUUCUGAACAAAUGGCUGUCCGGUCUUUUCUUCCAAGACCUCCGUGAUGGAGCACCCACAACUUCUCAAGCCAAGCUGUUCCACUGGAUUGGAGUUAAGAAGCCUCCACCUGAUCAGAGGGACAUGAUGCUGGCUCUUCAACACAUGUUUAGAAUGAGCUCUGAAAGCAUCAUGGACGCAAUUGACGGGAACGAGAUGAGAUUUAGUUCUGAGAGGUUUCCAAGGAGUCUGGCUCCAUUCUUCCUUCAGGGACCUUCCUCUUCAGUUUCACUUCAGGGAGGCUCCAAUUCAGCAUCUCUUUGGGUCACCUGUGUUCUUUUCUUCAGCCUCCAUAUGCACUUUUGGAGAAUAAUCGCUUGGGAAAUGUGAUUUUGAGUGAACCAGGUUCUGAGCCUCCUUGAGAGCGCUGGCUUGGUUUGUGUUUUUUAAGCUCCUUUGUCAGCUGAGCGUAGUGGAGGGUAUUCAGGUCAUCCUCAAGUUAAGAAUGUAAUAGAGCCUGCCAAUUACAAUAGUAACACAUUCAUUUGUUUGAAUCACAUUAAAUGAAUGUGAUCACUCCCUGCUUUCCCCAGUGCAUUUGUUAAUCAAAUGUGCAGGUCAUUAAAUGCACAUGAGGUAUCUCAAGAGUGGGGAAGAGAUGUGGGGCCUCCAGUGGGAUUGGGGGUAUUGACCACGUAGCUUCUAAUGUUCGCUAAGGGAAUGCCAGGGAUUACCUACACGGAGCAGCAUAGUUGUCUGAAGAUAGAAGUGUCUCCAGGUGUAUUGCAAAUAUUGAAUCCUCCAGGUGCAGCUUUAAAAACCGCCCGAAAGAGAAACAGUGGCAGAUCUGUCCCUUACUCACCCGGCUUGGGUUUAUUGUCCUUCAAAUAUAAAUUCUGGAAUUAAAUCCAGUGUUCUAGUGAAAGCUGGCCAAUGCAAAAUGGAACAGAAAUAGGAUUAUGAAGAAGUUGCAAAUAAACGUUUUUCUCAAACCAGAAUGGCCUCUUUGUUUACAAUGAUUCCUGCAAGUUUUGAUUCUGCCCAGUGCUUCUCCUACCUGGGCUUCUUUCUAGGUAGGGGGAGGCUUUAAGAGGAGGGGUGGGCUUUGUAAUGGCUUCCAUGAAUGUGGCUGGCUCACAUGGUGCUGACUGCCCCUGCCCCCCAGGAUGGAAAUACGGAUGCUGCGUUUUUCUGUGCUCAGCACAGGCUUCCAGGGCCUGGACAGCUCAGUCCCUGAAAAGGGGGAGAGCAGGCACCUCCCAACAACAGCUUGUCCCUCCUUUGCCCCUAAAAUGCCUUCUGGCUGUAAGCAAGGAAUUUUCCAAGAGUCUUGACAAGCUCAUCCCCCAAUAGUUGGUUGGUUUAUUAGGUUUUUAUCCCGCCUUUUAUUAAUUUAUAACUAAUUCAAGCCAGCGAACAUACAUACUACAGGCAGUCCUCAAAAUGUACGACCACAGCUGAGCUGAAAAUUUAUGUUGCUAAGUGGAACAAGUGGGUUUUGCCCCAUUUUAUGAACUUUGCUACCAUUUGUGCAUCUAGCUUCCCUACUGGCUUUUACUUGUCAAAAGGUGGCAAAAGAAACCUGGGACACUGCGACAGUCAUAAAUGUAAGCCAAUGGCCAAGCACCUGAAUUUUGGCCACAUGACCAUAGGAGUGCUGCAGUGGUCAUUAAGUGUGGAAAAAGGAUCACAAGCCACUUUUCAGUGCUGCUGUAACUUUGGUCACUAAAGGAACCAGUUUAAAUUGGACUACCUGUCCUGCGCUCCUUCCUCUUCCUAUUUUGCCCACAACAGCCUGCCUAAUGUGCACCCUUGUGGGGGGAAGUGAGCUGAGCAGGUCUGAACACCUGAUUUUAACAGCUGGCACCAUUCCAGGUGCAGUCACAAAAGGAGUUUAAGCUCAAUCCUUCAGGGAUGGAGGAGAGCCCAUGAAUCCUCAUCAAAGGAUUGGGACGAGAUGGUGGUAUUCAGCUGGUUUUGAAUACUAAUAGAGUACUAAUACCACUCUAUAAGCCUUCAUAAGGCCACACCUAUAGUCCUGCAUCCAGUUUUGGUCACCACGCUAUAAAAAAAAGGUUGAGACUCCACAAAAAAUGCAGAAAAGAGCAACCAGGAUGAUGAGGGGACUGGAGGCGAAUGGUUGCAGGAACCGGGCCUGGCUAGUCUAGGGUAGAGAAGGACCAGGGGAGACAGGAGAGCAGCCUUCCAAUAUUUGUGGGGCUGUCACAGAAAGGAGGGGGGGGUCAAGCUAUUUUCCAAAGCACCUGAAGGUCAGACAAGGAAUAAUGGAUGGAAACCGAACAAGGAGAGAUUCAACCUGGAAAUAAGGACACUGAAGAGCAAUCCACCCAUGGAACAGAAGUUGCCUUUGGAGGUUGUGGGAGCUUCAUCUUUGGAAGCUUUCAAGAAGAGACUGGACUGCCCUCUGUCAGCAAUGGUGUAGGGUCUCCUGCUUGGGCAGGGGGUUGGACUAGAUGAUCUAGUUAAUCUGUAAGCUCUGAAAGUGGUCUCUUGUCAACAAUGGAUACCAUACACCGGGUUGUACUAUUUAGGGCCUGGUGAAUGGACUGCUAAUGAGCUGAAAGUGAGCCUGUCUCCUGAAGCCAAGGAAUCUUUACUUUUUCAGUUCACAGCAAGAAAUGAUGCUCAGUGAGACAAAACUCUGCCUUUGGCUUCAUCACACAAUACACUUAACCUGAUUGUUGGAUUCAGCCUUAUUUUGGGGGCUGAUACAAUGCGUUGCAUUCCAGUUAACUAAAGGAACUGAAAUCCGUAUGUUACAAAACGAGCUGUUUGAAGCCAGCCUGAGGAGUUGGCAGCAUGGAUCCCAUAAAGGAUAUCCAACCCUUCUGUUU